GGGGGCGUCCGGUCUCGACGGGGUAGUUGGGCUUCGGGAUUGCGAGCCGAGAGCCGCGAGCGUUACAGCGCAGCGUUUCACAAACGCCAACAGAACGAACGGUCUCGCCCUCGCUGCGUAAGCAGUAGAGACGUGAUCCCCGGGACUUAGAUCCCGGGCGUUGCCCCCGGUCAAUCCGGCGGACCGGGGAGCGGCGUCACAAAAGACCGGAUUGCCGCCUCGAGGGCGCUGCGGCCUCGAGGCGGGACACCCACCGCAGCUGGCAGAAGCGGAUCCCGUCGGGAGGAGCCGCCAAGCGAGAACCAAAUUCCCGGACACGCUCGUAGAGAUCCCGGGGGACACUGCUUCGGACGCGGGUUCAACUCCCGCCGCCUCCACCA
This is a non-coding RNA of Actinobacteria bacterium 13_1_20CM_2_65_11, 380 nucleotides long. The record is from Rfam. NCBI's taxonomy places the organism in Bacteria, Bacillati, Actinomycetota.